UACAGAGGUCUCGAUCGUUAAUCGGUGUCACUGGGCUUAAAGGGUGCGUAGGCGGGUCCGCAAGUGCCUUGUGAAAUCCCACGGCUCAACCGUGGAACUGCUGGGCAUACUGCGGGUCUUGAGGUCGGUAGAGGUUGUCGGAACUCUAGGUGUAGCGGUGAAAUGCGUAGAUACCUAGAGGAACGCCAAAGGUGAAGACAGGCAACUGGCCCGAAUCUGACGCUGAGGUGCGAAAGCGUGGGGAGCAAACAGG
Molecule: ribosomal RNA, 253 nt
Filed under: uncultured bacterium
Lineage: Bacteria
Description: partial 16S ribosomal RNA
Rfam family: Bacterial small subunit ribosomal RNA
Source: RNAcentral